UACGGGGGGGGCAAGCGUUGUUCGGAAUUACUGGGCGUAAAGCGCACGUAGGCGGCUUUGUAAGUUAGAGGUGAAAGCCCGGGGCUCAACUCCGGAAUUGCUUUUAAGACUGCAUCGCUAGAAUUGUGGAGAGGUAAGUGGAAUUCCGAGUGUAGAGGUGAAAUUCGUAGAUAUUCGGAAGAACACCAGUGGCGAAGGCGACUUACUGGACACAUAUUGACGCUGAGGUGCGAAAGCGUGGGGAGCAAACAGG
Molecule: ribosomal RNA, 253 nt
Filed under: uncultured bacterium
Lineage: Bacteria
Description: partial 16S ribosomal RNA
Rfam family: Bacterial small subunit ribosomal RNA
Source: RNAcentral